Molecule: transfer RNA, 90 nt
Filed under: Peptoanaerobacter stomatis
Lineage: Bacteria; Bacillati; Bacillota; Clostridia; Peptostreptococcales; Filifactoraceae
Description: tRNA-Ser(gga)
Rfam family: tRNA
About the family: Transfer RNA (tRNA) molecules are approximately 80 nucleotides in length. Their secondary structure includes four short double-helical elements and three loops (D, anti-codon, and T loops).
Source: RNAcentral
GGAGAGGUGUCCGAGUGGUUUAAGGAGCACGCCUGGAAAGCGUGUAUACGAGUUAUCGUAUCAUGGGUUCAAAUCCCAUUCUCUCCGCCA